GGCCCCGUAGCUCAACUGGACAGAGCACCGGACUUCUAAUCCGAUGGUUGCAGGUUCGAGUCCUGCCGGGGUCGCCA
Molecule: transfer RNA, 77 nt
Filed under: Paracoccaceae bacterium
Lineage: Bacteria; Pseudomonadati; Pseudomonadota; Alphaproteobacteria; Rhodobacterales; Paracoccaceae
Also listed under: 1 other name
Description: tRNA-Arg
Rfam family: tRNA
About the family: Transfer RNA (tRNA) molecules are approximately 80 nucleotides in length.
Source: RNAcentral